UUCGCGGCUCCGUUCACCAAGAGAGGUCUGCUGCUCAAGUUCCUGCUGCUGGGCGGCGGCUCACUUCUGGCCUACGUCAGCGCGUCGGCGUCACCGGACCUCCUGCCGAUCAAGAAGGGACCUCAGGAGCCGCCGCAGCCGGGCCCGCGCGGCAAGAUCUAAGCUCAGCUUCUCCAUUUGCAUGGUCUAGUAGCUUGCUUUGUACUGCUAGCGCCGGUCGAUCCGUCGCAAUCGUCAUGGAUCAUCUCUCUAU
This 253-nucleotide long non-coding RNA is filed under the name Zea mays. RNAcentral's name for it is "long non-coding RNA (ZMAY_LNC004073)". The record is from RNAcentral. Lineage: Eukaryota; Viridiplantae; Streptophyta; Magnoliopsida; Poales; Poaceae.